This 253-nucleotide ribosomal RNA is filed under the name uncultured bacterium. Its description in RNAcentral is "partial 16S ribosomal RNA". It matches the Rfam family "Bacterial small subunit ribosomal RNA", at positions 524 to 776 of the family's 1533-position model. The record is from RNAcentral.
GACGGAGGGUGCAAGCGUUGUUCGGAUUGACUGGGCGUAAAGGGCGUGUAGGCGGUUGCCCAAGUCCGAUGUGAAAGCCCGAGGCUUAGCCUCGGAAGUGCAUCGGAAACUAGGCAGCUGGAGCGCGAUAGAGGAGGGUAGAAUUCCUGGUGUAGCGGUGAAAUGCGUAGAUAUCAGGAGGAACACCGGUGGCGAAGGCGGUUCUCUGGGCAUUACCUGACGCUGAGGAGCGAAAGUGUGGGGAGCGAACAGG